ACAAUCACCUUCUUAACAUUGUUGUCCCUUAUUACUUUUCAAACCCGUGGUCGUUGAUGUCGUUGGUGCAACACGGAGACGGCCGCCAUUGCCAUCUUGUCACGCCAAUUACCAUCGCCGUCGUUGGCCUCGAUGAGAGCCACACCUUCUAUACCUUCAACACAAGCACCCCGUCGUGGCACGCUCGUUGUCGCACGUUUGUCACCGGUGCCACAACUCGCCGGUGACUUGCCUUCAUGUUCAUCACCGGUGACACAAUUCGCCGGUGACUCACCUUCAUGUUGUCGACGAUGACGCACCUUGUCGACGACUCGCACAUGGAACUCCUUAUGCAAUGGCCUCCGCUCCAUGACCACCUCCUUCAUGCCGCCGGUGACACAACUUACCAGGCGACAUACCUAUCUCCAUCACCGUGACGCAUCUCGAUGAUGAUGAAGACACACACCAGCCGCUAGCAGCAUCACACCGCCAACGACGUCCACCUUGCGCCGCCGACGUCCCCCUCAUACUGAGUCCGCCACGCAGCCACACCGCCGUGCACCUCCAUAGGCC
This 552-nucleotide long non-coding RNA is filed under the name Hordeum vulgare. Its description in RNAcentral is "long non-coding RNA (HVUL_LNC020255)". Lineage: Eukaryota; Viridiplantae; Streptophyta; Magnoliopsida; Poales; Poaceae. The record is from RNAcentral.